RNAcentral lists this non-coding RNA (74 nucleotides) under unclassified sequences. RNAcentral describes it as "RT-6 RNA". It matches the Rfam family "RT-6 RNA". Rfam says of the family: Firmicutes. The record is from Rfam by way of RNAcentral.
UGCCUUACAAGUAGUUGUAAGGGUUGAGAAUUGUUGUCAACAGUUCGCCGAGCAAUUCCAAUAAGAGUGAUCGG